Molecule: ribosomal RNA, 493 nt
Filed under: uncultured bacterium
Lineage: Bacteria
Description: partial 16S ribosomal RNA
Rfam family: Bacterial small subunit ribosomal RNA
Source: RNAcentral
AUUGAACGCUGGCGGCAUGCUUUACACAUGCAAGUCGAACGGUAACAGGUUAAGCUGACGAGUGGCGAACGGGUGAGUAAUGCAUCGGAACGUGCCCGAUCGUGGGGGAUAACGCAGCGAAAGCUGCGCUAAUACCGCAUACGAUCAGAGGAUGAAAGCGGGGGACCGUAAGGCCUCGCGCGAUCGGAGCGGCCGAUGUCAGAUUAGGUAGUUGGUGGGGUAAAGGCCCACCAAGCCGACGAUCUGUAGCUGGUCUGAGAGGACGACCAGCCACAGUGGGACUGAGACACGGCCCAGGCUCCUACGGGAGGCAGCAGUGGGGAAUUUUGGACAAUGGGCGAGAGCCUGAUCCAGCAAUGCCGCGUGCAGGAAGAAGGCCUUCGGGUUGUAAACUGCUUUUGUACGGAGCGAAAAGGUCCUUUCUAAUACAAGGGGCUCAUGACGGUACCGUAAGAAUAAGCACCGGCUAACUACGUGCCAGCAGCCGCCGUAA